GACGAACGCUGGCGGCGUGCCUAAUACAUGCAAGUUGAGCGCUGAAGGUUGGUACUUGUACCAACUGGAUGAGCAGCGCACGGGUGAGUAACGCGUGGGGAAUCUGCCUUUGAGCGGGGGACAACAUUUGGAAACGAAUGCUAAUACCGCAUAAAAACUUUAAACACAAUGUUUAAGUGUGAAAGAUGCAAUUGCAUCACUCAAAGAUGAUCCCGCGUUGUAUUAGCUAGUUGGUGAGGUAAAGGCUCACCAAGGCGAUGAUACAUAGCCGACCUGAGAGGGUGGUCGGCCACAUUGGGACGGAGACACGGCCCAAACUCCUACGGGAGGGAGCAGGAGGGAAUCUUCGGCAAGAGACGAAAGUCUGACCGAGCAACGCCGCGUGAGUGAAGAAGGGUGUCGGAUCGUAAAACUCGGUUGGUAGAGAAGAACGUUGGUGAGAGUGGAAAGCUCAUCAAGUGACGGUAACUACCCAGAAAGGGACGGCUAACUACGUG
RNAcentral lists this ribosomal RNA (497 nucleotides) under uncultured bacterium. RNAcentral's name for it is "partial 16S ribosomal RNA". It matches the Rfam family "Bacterial small subunit ribosomal RNA", at positions 28 to 507 of the family's 1533-position model. The record is from RNAcentral.